AUGAGGAGAAGUUUGGUCUAUGCUGCUGCAUUUUUUCUUCUUUUACUUUACGUUCCAAUCAUUACCUCUUCAAGGCACAUAAGCCACUCAAAUUCACGACAUGGACAUUCAAAACAUGAAGUGGCAAAUAUGCGGGGGCCGAUGGAAGUAGCCGGAUCACGGUUGCCGGAUUGUUCGCAUGCAUGCGGGUCGUGUUCGCCAUGCAAAUUGGUGAUGGUGAGCUUAGUUUGUGCAUCACUAGCAGAGGCUGAAUCAUGUCCAAUGGCUUACAAAUGCAUGUGCCAUAACAAGUCCUAUCCUGUUCCAUAG
Molecule: non-coding RNA, 309 nt
Organism: Vicia faba (fava bean)
Lineage: Eukaryota; Viridiplantae; Streptophyta; Magnoliopsida; Fabales; Fabaceae
Source: the annotation of a GenBank genome assembly